RNAcentral lists this ribosomal RNA (304 nucleotides) under uncultured bacterium. Its description in RNAcentral is "partial 16S ribosomal RNA". It matches the Rfam family "Bacterial small subunit ribosomal RNA", at positions 506 to 807 of the family's 1533-position model. The record is from RNAcentral.
CAGCAGUAGCCGCGGGAAUACGGAGGGAGCUAGCGUUGUUCGGAAUUACUGGGCGUAAAGCGCGCGUAGGCGGUUACUCAAGUCAGAGGUGAAAGCCCGGGGCUCAACCCCGGAACUGCCUUUGAAACUAGGUGACUAGAAUCUUGGAGAGGUCAGUGGAAUUCCGAGUGUAGAGGUGAAAUUCGUAGAUAUUCGGAAGAACACCAGUGGCGAAGGCGACUGACUGGACAAGUAUUGACGCUGAGGUGCGAAAGCGUGGGGAGCAAACAGGAUUAGAUACCCCUGUAGUCCCUGUCUCUUAUAC